This 74-nucleotide transfer RNA is filed under the name Lachnospiraceae bacterium. Its description in RNAcentral is "tRNA-Val". It matches the Rfam family "tRNA". From Rfam's summary of the family: Transfer RNA (tRNA) molecules are approximately 80 nucleotides in length. RNAcentral also lists the same sequence under 1 other name. The record is from RNAcentral. Lineage: Bacteria; Bacillati; Bacillota; Clostridia; Lachnospirales; Lachnospiraceae.
GGUGACUUAGCUCAGUUGGGAUGAGCGCUUGGUCGACAACCAAGAGGUCGGCGGUUCGAGCCCGCCAGCCACCA